CCAGCCGCGAGCCGCUAGAUGCCUAGCCCCCCCUCUCUCGCCUUGCUCGACUAGAUCCGUCAUGGGUGCAUCAAGUCAAUCGUGGUGGGGAGAUAGAGAGGGGGCCGCCUCGAGUAGAGGAGAGGUCGCCGUUGAGGGAAGGAGAGGAUGCGGGAGGCAGGUCGCCGUAGGGGGAAGAAGAGGACGCGGGAGGAAGGUCGCUGGCCGAGGUAGAGAUCCGGCAGCUCUUCGUAGAGCGAUGCAGCCAAGGUGCUUGACCACGCGCUGGUGUGCGUUGCGGCGCCGAUGCACGUACGCACUUUUGCUCGUACCAAGGCGGCAGGGAGGGGAGGGAAUAGGGGUGUAGCGCUCGAUCUGGGAAGGAGAUGAGUAGAUGCGGCAUCGACGGAGCGACACGACGAUGGUAACCGAAGGAGAAGAAUGGAAGAAUUGAUAGUGUUUUCAACUUUUUAUUCAUCCUUUGACAGUGUACAUAUACAGGAGGCAGUCAUGCCUUUGUCCACUAACCACUAAAGCUAAACUCUAGCUAACAGCCCUGGAGACUAGGUAGGCAAUCGUGUGCAGACCGUUGAAGCUGCUCCUGAAGAUGCAUUCCAACAGUGACGAUCAGGGGAGACCUGCGUAAGAUAUGCAAUUUUGCCGCUACGCUGUUGCGCUUCUAUUCGUCCUACCAUUUGAUCCACGUUGAACAUAACCUCACACCUCUAUUUCCCCUGAGGCCAAUAUUCAGAAUCCUCCCUCCAUAUGAAAUCCUUUGAUACGAUAUUUUAUGUAGAUAUUGGAAUUUCCACUGCCAAACUUGUUAUCUGAAAAUAUCACUUAACCAUUGGACCCUCCUUCCAGAGUAGAUCGUGGUUGGCCUCCAUGCAAUAUAGCUUUUGUUAGCUUGUUUCAUUAAUGAUUUUUGCUUGCCAUUCGGAUUCACGGGAACCAUGAAAGCAUGAAGGGAACCUGAAGUCAAAAUUCCAGGCUUUUUUCACGUGUUUAGUUCAUGCAUUCUGGUGAUCCGUAAUCUGGGUGUGUUGCUGUGAAUAACUUACACUGAUCCAUGACAAUUGUGUAAUAUUUCCUCUGAAAGGGCCUUGAUGUAUUUCACAUCAGCGGAAAAGUUUACUGUCGUGUGAUCAGACUGUACAAUUUUCCAAACAAUAGUAUGCUUUGUUUUUCAUUUUUUAAUGCCUGAAACUCAGUUUCAGUAUCCUCUCAACUUGACAGUAGUUUCAUUAUAUUAGGGUGGAGUUAGCACUUGAUCACCAAUGACUUUUCCUCAUAGAAGGAAGUUUUAGUACUUAUUUACCAAAUCAGAGUUUGUAAUCCAUGCUGUGUGUUAAGUGCUUUUACAUUUUGAAAUAUUAAUGUGUUUUAGAAGGUUCGUCCUCCAUCGAUAUUAUGCAGCUCAUGGGCAGGAUACAAAAUCUUCACCUAAGAAAAACAAUUGCUUUCAUCGGCAUACCAGGAUAUAUUCUAUAGUGGAUUACACCUAUGAUGCACAUGCACUUCCGAGAACCCCCACCCCCACCGAUUUUCCUUCGCCUUCCACUGAUUUUCCUCCCCAUUCCACCGGGUUUUUUCUCUCUUACUAGUUUAUUCCUCUGCUUGUCAUGCCCGUGAAAUCCCAGUGUAUCUCAAAUGUAGUAUGGUAAUUACGGUAAUCAAUCAAUUCACAUAUGGUAAGGCCAUAAACUCACGAAAAUCUCAUAUAUGGCAAUUAUGGUAAUCAAUCAAUUCACGUAUGGCAAGGUUAUAAAUUUGCGGAAACCAAAUAAUCAAUUGUGGUGUUAUCUAGAUGUGCUUCAUACCUACCAGAAAUCGUGAGUUUCUGCUAGAAUUGUUUACGUUGAGCUUGAUGUUAUAUUACUGGAAUAUAUAUAGCCCCGUUGCAGCACGGGCAAAUAGCUAGUCUCUAAAAAGACUUAUAUUUAGGAACGGAGGAAAUAUAUGGAGAGUGAUAUAUAUAUAUCACCGAAUAAAUUCGAGACCGCAUUGGUUGGCUGGUCUAUCUACCCCUGAAACAAAGUCGGAUGCUCGACAACAAAGCCGUGGCAAAACGGCAAAAUGGAAUCUUAUUAUUUUUUCCGUUUACUAGGAGAGACACGUAGCCACAAUCCUAACUUCUUCUAACGGGUUUGCUAUUUAACAAUCAAGUGUUUUUCAAUUCGUCAACAUUCAAAUUUGUGUCCGUCCGUUCUUGCGCGGAGAUUUGCGCUGGUUUUCCUUUUUUUCUUCGUGUUGGUGCCCUGUUUACUCCGGUUUGUUUUCUUUUACCGGGUUCGGUUUUUCUUUGUCUCAACCCGUGACGGCGCCCGUCCUAUUGGUUUUUGUCCUGUUUGAAUUUUAGAGUGGGUGUCGUUCCCCUUUCCUUUGGUCAUUCUGUUUCGAUAAGGCUGAGGAGAAACCUCGAGCGGCGGUGGAGAGGAGGCGAGGAAUAGCUCGAGGGGUGGCGGAGAGGAGGCGAUUCAUGGUGAUUCCGAGCUAUUCCACCAUUGGAUUUUGAUCUCUCCCCCCUUUCUCUUCGCUCCUCAGCUGCCAUUGUUGGUUCCCCUUGUCUCUCGCGUUUCCCGUCCCGUAGUUCCAGAUCUAGGUGAGUUUCGUGGUCGUGGUUUGUGGAUCGUAUGUUUGCUGUUGUUCGUGGAUCUGUGAUAGGUGCUGCCAUGUUGUUCUAGUCCGUCCAAUUUCCCCACUCCAUUCUGCUCGCCUGAGUUGUGUAGGAGCUUGUAGUUGUGGGUUCUAGGUCUGUAGUUGUGUAGGAGGUUGUAGUUGCGGAUUCUAGGAGCUUUGUGGUUGUUUUUCUCCCCUGAUUGUAGGUGUGUUAGGCUUUAGUUUUUGUUUUAUUUUGUGUUGUGGUGGAGGUACACGUACUGGUAGUUGCAGUGGUGUCUGUCCCCUUGCUGUUAGACGAUAGUUGUAGGUGGCUGGUCAUGACUCCCCCCCCCCCCCGCCGGCAGCUGAGGUGUGACUGAAUGUGUGUUUCAAGAAUUCCCUCCCCGCCCCCCCCCCCCCCGACUGGUGUUUUCCACUGAAAUUUCUAGUCGAAUUUCAGUUUCCUUUAUAUUUUUAGUGUAUUUUGUAGUCUAUUAUCAAUGUACUUACCUUGUAACUAUGUAAUUAUUCGGUAAUAUCAGUGUAUUUAUAGUCUAAUAUCAGUGCAUUUACAUAUCAGUGUACUAACUAUGUAAUUACACUGUAGUAUCAGUGUACUUACACUGUAAAUCACAGUGUAAUUUCAGGUUAAUUUUACACUGCAAUCCUAGUGAUUUCAGCAUGUGGUUAGUUAGUCAUGUAAGUGGAUCUCUCUGUAUUGUAGCUCAAAUUACUGUGGAUCUUACCCAUUUCAGUGUAACUACUGUAAUAUGUUUCCAGAACCUUAUGGUCCCUGCUUUCACAGUGUGAUACUCCCAUUUUACAAUGUAAUUCUCCCAUAUUUUUUGUAAUUACUGUGUAAUAUGUUACUAGUAGUAUGAUUGUGUAAUUUACAGUGUUAUACUCCCAUAUUUACAGUGUAAUUCUCAUAAUUCUCCCAUGUUCGUAAUUACUGUGUAAUCUGUCCUAGUAGUAUUGUGUAAUUUACAGUGUAGUACUUCCAAAUACUGCCAGAAUUACAAUGUAACUUUCCUCCUAGAAUUACUGUGUAAUUUAUCAUCCAAUUACAGUGUAAUUUGUCGUAUCAGUGUUGUGUAAUUUUCUCUCUGAUUCCAGUGUAAAUCCUGAUUACAAUGUGCUAAGAUAUGCAAGUUUUUUCAGUGUAUUCAUGCCAUAGAAUCACUGUGUAAUUUGUCCUAGCAGUUACACAGUAAUUUAGCCCAACUACUCAUGUAUUUUACACUGUAUAUGCCCAGAUUUAUAGUGCAUAUGCACUAGAAUCACUGUCUAGUAUGCCCAGAUUUACAGUGUAAUUAUGCCCAGAUUUACCUAUUUUUUAGUGUAAUGUUCAUGCUUUAGCUCUGUAAUUUUCCGUUUUUUUAGCUUCAGAAAGUCGCUCACCAGGACGUUCCGUUAGUGUCAUCUUUUGAGAAUGCAGAUCCUAUCUGUGAACCAUUCGUGUCUAAUGACUUUGCGGAAGAUGGAUCAUAUCCAAUGUCUACGGAACUUUCUGGUGAUGAAGGAGCCUUUGACAAAGCUCUUUUCAAGUUCUAUGUUAAUCAAAAAGUAAUCACCGAAGAGGAAGUUAUCAUCUGCUGGUAGAAGAAAUGUGGUUAGUCCUUGUCCUCUUGCCAUGAUGCUCUCGUUCAGUAUUAGCUUGUUCAUCUUAUUAUUUACUUUUUUGAGUGCACUUCUUUGAUAUCUGUUUCCUUUUUAUUUGUGGUAGAGGCAGAGGCGGUCUACUGAUUUCCCUACUUGUCCCUCCUUUUUCACUCAUGACCAUCACCACUUUACAAUCUGUCUUUGCAAUGACUGUUGUCUUUCUCAUAGGGACUAUGCAAUCUUUGUCCGCUUCCUUCCUCUUGCUCCACUUAUUGCACUUCAUAGUUAUUCUUGUCACCUCAUUGUUCCUUUUUUGCUUGUUGUUCUUGAUGCUGCUACUGUAGCCACUGAGAAUCCAACAACUUUGGAGUAGAAAUUGAUAUAUUCCUGGCCUUCUUCCUUUGUUUUGAACUGCAUGCCUAUGUGUGGCUUGAAGUUGCUGCUAGUGUUCAUUAGAUUGCCCUCUGAUGCAGCCUCUUGCUCAUUUUGCAGGAAUCUCUCAAUGUCUUAUUCGUCGAGGUAUUCAUUGUCAUCUUGUUCAUAUUCAUGGUGCCAAAAAGGUCUGCAUGCCAGGGGUUUUGUUCUGUUGCACCUUCUUCGGUUGAUGUAGUUUCAGUUUCCAUUUCGUCGAAUGUCUGCAGAAUAGUACUAAAGCUGUUCGUUUUUGGCAGAUAUUUCCUUGUAAGAGAGGUGAAGCUGGUGAAGAAAUGAAAUACAAGGGGGUAGCAGUAGAUUUGUUUCUGACCCAUUGAUCGUCCUGGGAUUUCCAAAAUUGUGUGGAUGUUGUACGUCCUUGUUGCUCUUCAGGUACAGCUUCUUCUCCAGGUUCACACCCCUCUCCCAUGGCUGCCUUCCUGGCAUGACUUUGAUCUGCAAUUUAUUCUUCUCCCUUCCCUUCUUCCAUGGCCGCCAGCCCUAAUUUUGUUUCUGUGUGCUGUGUGUUUGGUGAGAUUUAUGAUGUUAUGUAGGAGGGGUGGAGAGGGGUUUCCCUUCCUUUUCCAUGCGUAACAAGUUGAUGGCAAGCAGGGAAGUUGUGGCCAGUUGUUAGUUGUAGUCCACCGAGGGUUUGGUGGGGCUAGAUUGCUGGAAAGCGGGUCAGGGUUUUACCCGACCCGUUUUUGCUGAAAUACAGAAAAUAAAGUGGCUGGUGGGAGGGUUUUUUGGGACAUACAUGUGUCAUCUGUUUAUUUGCUACGAAAUUUGAAUGUUGUCAAAUUGAAAAAUAGUCGAAUGUCAAAUAGACAGUCCCUAUUCUAAUGGUAUUUUUUCUAGAAAAAGGGAAAUAUUUCUGACCACUACAUAAUUACGAUGCACACAACCAUACAUUAUUAAUGCUCGAGUGACUAGCUCCAGCAUCAGAGUAUACAAAAAGAACAUCGUAUAAAAGUAGCCACAAUCGGCGAAAAUUAGAAAAUAUGCCUACAAAUAGCCUACUAUUGACCGCCAUCCAAACUUAUAUGUAUCUCGUGCUAUCAUCCCCCAUUAGUUGCAUCCAGAUUUCGCCAUUCUAACCAGGGGUAAGUUGUAAUAUGUGUUACUUGUUGCAAUGCACAUCUCAAACUUUGACUACGAAAAAUUCAUAGGAAUAAAAUUGGUACACAUUAUUAUUUUUAGUUGGAAUUGAUACAGAAUGUUGUUAUUUUUCUUUAACAAAAGUGCUCGCGGAAAAAUAUACAAGCAAAAAAAGUGUUCCUGUGAAAGUUUAGCUAUUUGAUAAUGACACAUUACUCCUGACUCUUUAGAUGUUGGAUCAUACAUGAGUGGUAGGGGGUUAUGGAUCUUGCGCCAUAUGUAUAGGUGUUUCCUUUGGGUAUAAACCAUAUCUUGGCUUUUCUCUCGUAUUGCUUGUGUUCUUGUUGCGGCAGUGGUGAUCAGGAUAAACACUACUGAAACUGGCCUGAAGGUCGAAGGCGGAUGGUUGAAGAAGGGGAUGGUGGUGCAAUUUCUUCCACAACUUCCUUUAGGGUUUCUCUUGUCGAUAUGACUUGCUCCGCUGCUGGAAUUUCGGGCCGGAGGUCACCCAUUCGGAGCUCGGGCAUCAGGCAUUAAUUACUUCUUUCUUAGAGUCAGGUGUGAGUUGAAUUUGUUUUAUUUCUAAUGAGGCUUUGGGUCAUUCGAGGACAUUCCCCUCUUAUCCUCAUGGCUUGCAAAAGCAUGUUGUGAAAUAAACAAAAUUGAAAGAUACUGGAUAUGCUGAAAUUUAGGACUUGAAUACAUUGUUAUAACAUCAAUCAAUCAAUCAA
This is a long non-coding RNA of Triticum aestivum (bread wheat), 6425 nucleotides long. RefSeq lists it as uncharacterized. The record is from RefSeq and is a predicted model, not a curated record. The transcript is spliced from 5 exons. Lineage: Eukaryota; Viridiplantae; Streptophyta; Magnoliopsida; Poales; Poaceae.